Polypterus senegalus (gray bichir) is the source of this 1304-nucleotide long non-coding RNA. RefSeq lists it as uncharacterized. NCBI's taxonomy places the organism in Eukaryota, Metazoa, Chordata, Cladistia, Polypteriformes, Polypteridae. The transcript is spliced from 4 exons. The record is from RefSeq and is a predicted model, not a curated record.
AGGUGGGCCUGGAUUACCAAUAUCUCCUUUGGCACCCUAUUCAAAAUCAAAUAUAAAAAAUAAAUUAAAGCCCCCCAGCCUUGCAUCUCUAUGAAAACAAGAAAGAAACUCCCGCAAAACUGGAAAAACAAUGGAAGAAAUCUUGAGAAAGGCAUUUCAGAGAACUAGAGACUCAGGGUGGACAGAUCCAGGGUGCCAGGCUGGUAGGAAGCAGACAACAAAGAUGAAGCAUGGACAGUCCCUACUUUAUUAAAGGAAUCAGUAAGUAUUGAAAAGAGCACUGGGUCUCUCUCUGCUCGAAUAAGAUGAAAUCGGUCCAGCAUUGAAACAGUUUCAGGUAUAUCAUGUUUAAGACAGCUCUCCAUAAAGUGCAAAAUGCCACUGUACUUUUAUGCUCCAUGACCUGCUAUAAGCGCAGACAUUUCGACCAUUUUAUUUGAUAAUGAUGGAACAUUUCUCAUUACAAUGAAUGGCAGACCAGUUCUAAAACCUGUUCGCUUUGCUUUUACUUUUGCACCGGCCCUCUUCAUCUAUGGUAAACAGCUCCUUUGUAAAAUGAAACUGAGCUGCUUAGGCGCUUGCGAUCACAGUGCAAGUAGCUGAUUACGGUGAAUAUUUAAUGCACCUCACUUUUAUUUUAUUAAUGUCUCUUAAAUGUCCAGGUGUUGCAGACAUAAGGCAGCCUUUAUAUCCUCUUUGUAAAUCCAUCCAGGUUAGCAGCCCAUUGGAAGUUCCUUCAAGACAAGCUAGUGCCUCUAUUUGGCAUGUAACAAUGACUGACAUAAACAAAACCAAACAUAAUGAAAUAUUCUCAAACCUACUUAAAUUCAAUUUAAGGUUAUGGGUUUGUGCCACAACGGACAGGACAUUGGAUAUUACAAUACCUAGUUAUGCUUACAACCAUGAGCCAAAUUACAAUCACCAACUAACCUAACACACAUCUCUUGUGGGGGAGAAUAGGAUUAGGAAGAUGCAAAUUCCACACAGGCAGACAAUGACCAGGGGUAAGGAUACAAAUCCAGGACACUGGAUUUAUUAUGCAGCACCAGUGUAGCCUUCCUCUAUUAUUGAUAACCAAACACAUCAUGCUCACUUUCCACAAAAUGAAUUUUUAAUUUGUUAUUGAAGUCUAAAAUUAUUCAGUUUAGUUGUUUACUAAUUUAAAAGAUACUACCAGAUAUCCUGACCCCAUAGCCUGGAUUGCACUUCAGUGCUUUCGAAACGUUUAUCUCUUCUUGAGUAUCAUUAUUCAUAAUUAUAUUUUUCUUUGUUGUCAUUCAUUCCAUCUUAAAAAUGUUAGGAAA